AAAUUGAACUGACUGCAUUUCAGGGACUCAUCAGUCAUCUAUCACCUGUCACCACCUGUGCAGUGGAGAUGGGGAGGCAGAAGAGAAAGCAAGUGGAUCCCACCUCAAGUGAUGAAAAGGGAUCACAUCCAGGAUCCCAUGUUACAUGUAAUUUAAUUGUCCUAUCUAAUCUCUUGCCUGUGGAAGAUUCAGAUUCUCCUUGUUUUUGAUGGCCUUGACAGUUUUGAGGAGUGCUGCUCAGGAAGGGAACAGAAGUGAACAUGGAAUUCAGCCUGAGAAGGAGGGAGGCACAGAGGCUGUGUGCACGAGGCAGGUGGAGUGUCAGAGCACAGAUCCCUGCUGCCUGCCUUCCUUCCUCCCUCUGGACUGUCACCUCUGUCCUGCCCCAGGAAUGCUGCUGUUCUGCUCUGGCAGAGAAUGGCUGUGAGACACCUAGCAUAGGAUCUGGCUCUCCACUAAGCUGUCAGCAAACCGAAAUGCUGCCCUUCCUGGUCCCUGUGGCCUGAAGGAAAGCAGCUCAAAUGUGUCCAUCUUGGCCUCUCCGGCUCCCUACACCGGGCCUGGUGCUCAGUAGGUGGCAAAAGUCUGUUGACCAAAUGAACAGCAGCCAGCCCUUGCUCUUAGGGGCCAAGAAAAGGAUACCACCACCCAUGUUCAUUACAAUCCCACACAUUGUAGCUGAGCCCCCACCCUGUGGAUCAGGCCUCCCCAACUCUACAGGAAAUGGGAGGGCAUCCUUCGCCCACUUCAGGGGGAAUCUGUCAGAGUCCAGGGGUGGCAGUUGGGGAGGGGAUCAGUGACAUGAAUCAUGUAGAGGAGGCAGCAUUAAGGAGCUCAGAGAACAAGGCAGGGCAAAGGAGGGGCACCCUCCACCCCAACUUGCCAUCUCCUUCCCUGACCCAUUGCCCACUGACCAUCUUUAAAUGAACUAGCUCAUACCUUCAUCCAGUGACUGGCACAGGGUCAAGAAGUUUCCCCAAGACAUUGUCCUCCCCUGCCUCAGCUCUCCCAUAUAUCAGGGGCCUGAGAACCAGAGGCUGCGCUCAUCAGGCCUUUGGGUGGGAGAGAAAACAUUAUUAUUAUUACUAGAUCUAUCUUCCUCAGGGACCAGGCAUGCCAGGACUUCACGUUCCAGAAUAGGAGCAUGUUCAACCCACACAGAUGCUUCUAUUCCAGGGGCAGGCCAAAGUCAUGAGGAACUAAAAACUGCUUUUCCCAGAAAGGCAGUUGGGGAGUAUUGAGUGGAAGCCUUCCAGCUGUCUGUGGGGUCAAGCCCCUCUGAGUCCAGUAGAGGGGGUGGAAAGCUGUGGGCAACAUACUUUAAAGAAGGGCAUCUCUCUUUACACUGUGCACAUCUGGGCUGGGUGACUCCUUGCCACAAGGGACUGUCUGGUGCAUGAUAAAGAUAUUCAGUAGCAUCUCUGGACCAUUCUCCUCCGUUGCAACAGCCAAAUAUUUCUCUGGGCAUCACCAGGUACCUCUUGGGAGCCCUGGUGAGAAUCAUCACUGUGCAGAACAGAACCUAUGUGGAUGUUGAGGUCCUUGUGCCACAUUCAGGUAUCUAGGGAGCCUGCUAUUCACUUGGAUGUUCUUUGAUGCAGGGACCAAACCCAGAACCUUCUGCAUGCUAAGCAUGAGCUCUACAGCUAAACUAUACUCCUAGCCCCAAGCCUCCUGUUUUAUGUGCCCUGUCCCCUCUGCCUGGAGUCCUGUCCCCAAGCCCUACCUGCCAUCUUCCAGAACUGAACCCACAUCACCACUCCCAAGAAUGUUCUGUGGACCUUCUUAUAAGUUUGAUUAACAUGGUAUUAUGGAAGGCAAAAUAGUGCCUCUUCCCCAGAUGUCCACAUCCUCAUCCCCAGAACCUGGGAUUGUGUUCCCUUACUUACAAAAGGGAGCUUGUGGGACUGAGGAUAUGACUCAGUUGGUAGAGUGCCUGUCUCACGUGCACAAGGCCCUGGGUUCAAUCCCCAGCACCGCAAAGAGGGGCGGGGCGAGUGUGUAGAUGGAAUAAGUUAAAAGAAUUUGAGAUGGGGGGUCAUUCUGGAUUAUCCAUGGCCCAGUGUCAUCACAAGGGUCUUCAUAAGAGGAAGACAGGAGGGUCAGAGCUAAAGAGGGAGACGUGGAGGUGGAAGCACAGGUCAGCAACUGGAAGACACAGCACUGCUGGCUCGGAAGACCGAGGAAGGGGCCACGAGCCAUGGGAUGCAGGCGCCUCUAGAAACUGGAAAAGAUAGGAGAGAGAGGUUCUCCCUGAAGCCCUCAGAAAGAACCAGUCCUGCUGACACCUGACUUUGGGGCUUGGACCUCUGGCAUUGUAAAAUAACAAAUUUGCCUUUUUCUCGCCAAUUAGAAAAAAAUAAGUUACCUACAAAGUCUCUGUGUUUGCAUUGUUAAAAUAACUGGGGCUGGGGUAGUGGCUCAAUGGUAGAGCACUUGCCUAGAAUGUGUGAGACACUAGGCUCAAUUCUCGGCACCACAUAUAAAUAAAUAAAGUUCCAUCAACAGCUAAUAAAAUAUUUUAAAAAUAUAUUCAGAAGCCUGGGGCAGAUGAUGAUGGGGUAUGGGUGCUCCAAGAAUCCCAUUUCCUGGUAGAACCAAGUGGCUCCAUUCUAAUUUAUUUUCUUUGUGGGGAAGGGUUCUGCAUAGAAUUUAAGAGUUGCACACCACCCCUCAGACUUGACCCCCCCAACCCUGUGGAAAUGCUGUGACAAGGUGGAGGCCUCAAAAUGCAGAGGGUGGGGGGGUGGAGGGCGGGGUGCUUGGCUGGGACUGCCCUGAGGGAGGUUACAGUCCUAUGGUGACAACCAGAGGGAGCUGCAGGUUCUGACAGAGUUCCCAUGGCUGGAUGGCCUCAGCCCUAUGGGAGGAAAAGAUUGGACCUGCUUCCAGUAUUGGUGGCCUUGGACUUCUGUUUGAUUGGCUAUUGGAGGUCCCCUGCAAUUCUGUAAGAAUGUUAGGAUCUGUUUUUACAUUUCUGAAAAAAAAAAAAAAGAAGAAAGAAAGAAAACAUUAGUAUUCUGAUACAGCUUGCUUUGAAUCUGUAGACCAAUUUA
Non-coding RNA from Ictidomys tridecemlineatus (thirteen-lined ground squirrel), 3056 nucleotides. The record is from RefSeq and is a predicted model, not a curated record. Lineage: Eukaryota; Metazoa; Chordata; Mammalia; Rodentia; Sciuridae.